UCCACUUUUCGCAGAAACCCA
RNAcentral lists this non-coding RNA (21 nucleotides) under Arabidopsis thaliana (thale cress). The record is from RNAcentral. Lineage: Eukaryota; Viridiplantae; Streptophyta; Magnoliopsida; Brassicales; Brassicaceae.